RNAcentral lists this ribosomal RNA (240 nucleotides) under Triticum aestivum (bread wheat). RNAcentral's name for it is "partial small subunit ribosomal RNA". Lineage: Eukaryota; Viridiplantae; Streptophyta; Magnoliopsida; Poales; Poaceae. The record is from RNAcentral.
AUGCCCCUGCCUCGUACUCCAGCGACCCACUGCUUCCCGGAGCUCCGACGCGCCAACCACCCCAGCCCCUCCCCACCCCCACCCCCGAGCUUCGACUGGGUGGUGGUUUGUUGCAUCUCCACACCGGUGACAGAGAGGAAAUCCACCUUGAUGCCGGCGAGGUUCAUUUCGGGGAGAAGACAACGACCACCCCUGUCCUCCACUCGAUCAGGUGCCAAAAUCGACGACCACGAUGUGUAG